Molecule: long non-coding RNA, 690 nt
Organism: Juglans microcarpa x Juglans regia
Lineage: Eukaryota; Viridiplantae; Streptophyta; Magnoliopsida; Fagales; Juglandaceae
Exons: 2
Source: RefSeq, a predicted model, not a curated record
UAUAGGUUGGACCGGCAGAACUGCAGUGGAGAGUUUGCCAACCCAAAGACAUGCCACAUUCAUUGUAUAUGACCAUUUUUAGGAGGGCAUGUCCAAGGUCUUAGAGCUAUGCUUUUGAUGAUGUGACGAGCACGUUUACAUGCAAGGCUAAUGAUCAUGUCAACAUUCUGUUUUAGUGUUGACGGGACGAAAAAACUGAAGGAUGCAUUUGCAGCUCCAAUUCAAGAGUAGAGCGGCGGGGAUGUUGUGGGGAUGGUUUCUUCGUAAAUCAUCCUCCUCCCCCUUCCAAUGCCCAUUUUUACAGUCAUCUUGAGUUUGCUUUUGUGAACAUAGACUAUUUGUGUACACCUCCUCACUUACCCCUUCGAAGUGAAAUCUGAAUGAAUCAAGCAGGGGACUACUUAAAGGAGAAACAAAGGAGAACUAGAAGGCUUAUCGUUUGUAGAUUUUCAGCUGGUACAUGAGUCGGUGCUUAUUUUAUCAAAAUGUCCUUUACCAUGUCUUUCAAUUGAACAAUGCUUCUGACAGUCCUUGAAUUGAAGGAUGCAGGAAGCCAACUUUUAUUGGAAGUUUUGCAAAUUGUAUCGGUUUAAAAUGUUCAUUUCUGGGUAAUAAGGUUGGCAAGCUGGUAAUGAGCCCAGUAAAUGUUCAUUAUUUAGAUAACUAAAGCAAAUGAAUGUAUUUUGAGUA